GUCCCUGUUGUGCAAUGGAUAGCAGGUUGGACUUCUAAUCCAAAGGUCAUGGAUUCGAAUCCCAUUCGGGAUG
This 73-nucleotide transfer RNA is filed under the name Trichonephila inaurata madagascariensis. It matches the Rfam family "tRNA". From Rfam's summary of the family: Transfer RNA (tRNA) molecules are approximately 80 nucleotides in length. Their secondary structure includes four short double-helical elements and three loops (D, anti-codon, and T loops). Lineage: Eukaryota; Metazoa; Arthropoda; Arachnida; Araneae; Nephilidae. The record is from Rfam by way of RNAcentral.